This is a non-coding RNA of Heteronotia binoei (common prickly gecko), 73 nucleotides long. The record is from the annotation of a RefSeq genome assembly. NCBI's taxonomy places the organism in Eukaryota, Metazoa, Chordata, Lepidosauria, Squamata, Gekkonidae.
AGAGGCUGUGGCUCAGUGGAAGAGCUUCUGCCUCGUGUGCAGAAGGUCCCAGGUUCAAUCCCUGACAUCUCUA